AGUGAACGCUGGCGGUAGGCCUAACACAUGCAAGUCGAACGGCAGCACAGUAAUAGCUUGCUCUUACGGGUGGCGAGUGGCGGACGGGUGAGGAAUACAUCGGAAUCUACUUUUUCGUGGGGGAUAACGUAGGGAAACUUACGCUAAUACCGCAUACGACCUACGGGUGAAAGCAGGGGAUCUUCGGACCUUGCGCGAGUGAAUGAGCCGAUGUCGGAUUAGCUAGUUGGCGGGGUAAAGGCCCACCAAGGCGACGAUCCGUAGCUGGUCUGAGAGGAUGAUCAGCCACACUGGAACUGAGACACGGUCCAGACUCCUACGGGAGGCAGCAGUGGGGAAUAUUGGACAAUGGGCGCAAGCCUGAUCCAGCCAUACCGCGUGGGUGAAGAAGGCCUUCGGGUUGUAAAGCCCUUUUGUUGGGAAAGAAAAGCAGCAGGUUAAUACCCCGCUGUUCUGACGGUACCCAAAGAAUAAGCACCGGCUAACUUCGUG
Molecule: ribosomal RNA, 492 nt
Filed under: uncultured bacterium
Lineage: Bacteria
Description: partial 16S ribosomal RNA
Rfam family: Bacterial small subunit ribosomal RNA
Source: RNAcentral